CCCGAAAAAGCCGUUCUCAGUUCGGAUUGCAGGCUGCAACUCGCCUGCAUGAAGCUGGAAUCGCUAGUAAUCGCGGAUCAGCAUGCCGCGGUGAAUACGUUCCCGGGCCUUGUACACACCGCCCGUCACACCACGAGAGCCGGCAACACCCGAAGUCGAUGAGGCAACCUACGGGAGCCAGUCGCCGAAGGUGGGGCUGGUGAUUGGGGUGAAGUCGUAACAAGGUAUCCCUACCGGAAGGUGGGGAUGGAUCACCUCCUUUCU
RNAcentral lists this ribosomal RNA (264 nucleotides) under Natribacillus halophilus. RNAcentral describes it as "16S rRNA. Bacterial SSU". It matches the Rfam family "Bacterial small subunit ribosomal RNA", at positions 1272 to 1533 of the family's 1533-position model. The record is from RNAcentral. Lineage: Bacteria; Bacillati; Bacillota; Bacilli; Caryophanales; Bacillaceae.